CCUACGGGUGGCAGCAGUGAGGAAUAUUGGUCAAUGGCCGAGAGUCUGAACCAGCCAAGUCGCGUGAAGGAUGACUGCCCUAUGCGUUGCAAACUUCUUUUAUAAAGGAAUAAAACGAGGCACGUGUGCCUUUUUGCAUGUACCUUAUGAAUAAGGAUCGGCUAACUCCGUGCCAGCAGCCGCGGUAAUACGGAGGAUCCGAGCGUUAUCCGGAUUUAUUGGGUUUAAAGGGAGCGUAGAUGGGUUGUUAAGUCAGUUGUGAAAUUUUGCGGCUCAAACGUAAAAUUGCGAUUGAUACUGGGAGUCUUGAGUACAGUUGAGGUAGGCGGAAUGCGUGGUGUAGCGGUGAAAUGCUUAGAUAUCACGAAGAACCCCGAUUGCGAAGGCAGCUUACUAAACUGUGACUGACAUUGAUGCUCGAAAGUGUGGGUAUCAAACAGGAUUAGAUACCCGAGUAGUC
Molecule: ribosomal RNA, 460 nt
Filed under: uncultured bacterium
Lineage: Bacteria
Description: partial 16S ribosomal RNA
Rfam family: Bacterial small subunit ribosomal RNA
Source: RNAcentral